Drosophila novamexicana is the source of this 85-nucleotide small nucleolar RNA. RefSeq annotates it as small nucleolar RNA Me28S-U3344. NCBI's taxonomy places the organism in Eukaryota, Metazoa, Arthropoda, Insecta, Diptera, Drosophilidae. The record is from RefSeq and is a predicted model, not a curated record. The transcript has a single exon.
UUGCCAAAUGAUGAUUACUUUUGUAAUUCUUGAUAGGAAGAGUAUGAAACAUAAUGAGUACUAUAAAAAAAUACUGAUGCGCCAU